GGGGGAAUGUGAAAAAAAACUAUGGACUAGGGUAUUGUUUAUUAAGAUUUAUGUUAAGCUCAAUGUAAAGGCUAGGCAACAAAAUUAAAUCGCUUAUGCAAACAGCUACCAGACACCGCUUGUGUAAGAUAAGAUAACCGCAAUCGCUUACACAAAUUAAACCAGAUACCGCUUGUGCAAGAUAACCGCCAGAUUUCCAGGAACCGACAGAAACAGGACAAACAACCCCAUAUAAGGACAUAUGAGUGAGGGGUCAGAAAACGACCCCCUAAC
Long non-coding RNA from Athene cunicularia (burrowing owl), 273 nucleotides. RefSeq lists it as uncharacterized. The record is from RefSeq and is a predicted model, not a curated record. The transcript has 3 exons. Lineage: Eukaryota; Metazoa; Chordata; Aves; Strigiformes; Strigidae.